RNAcentral lists this non-coding RNA (28 nucleotides) under Mus musculus (house mouse). The record is from RNAcentral. Lineage: Eukaryota; Metazoa; Chordata; Mammalia; Rodentia; Muridae.
UGGUGAUGAGGAUAUGGAGAUGCACAGG